AUCACUUCUCAGCCUUUUGGCUAAGAUCAAGUGUAGUAUCUAACUGAAACCUUCGGAGCCUCCUGCAUUUCUAUCAGCAUUCUAGUCCUCUGAGCUCUGAUCAGAAUCUCCCAUCUAGCUCAGUUAGUUUACAGCAUGCUAAGCAACUCUU
Molecule: small nuclear RNA, 151 nt
Organism: Heterocephalus glaber (naked mole-rat)
Lineage: Eukaryota; Metazoa; Chordata; Mammalia; Rodentia; Bathyergidae
Gene: U2
Rfam family: U2 spliceosomal RNA
About the family: U2 is a small nuclear RNA (snRNA) component of the spliceosome (involved in pre-mRNA splicing). Complementary binding between U2 snRNA (in an area lying towards the 5' end but 3' to hairpin I) and the branchpoint sequence (BPS) of the intron results the bulging out of an unpaired adenosine, on the BPS, which initiates a nucleophilic attack at the intronic 5' splice site, thus starting the first of two transesterification reactions that mediate splicing.
Source: Ensembl